AAAAACAUCCAGACCAAAAAAGCAGUUCUCAGUCAUGUUCUUCUCGGUUGCAACAAAUGACAUUCAAUGAAGGAAUAGUUUGGCAGUGCUUAUUCAUGGCAAACAUUUGUCCCUGUGCCACAUUUCAGUGCUGUUGGUCAGUAAUGUUUUUAUGAAAUGCUCUCAACAAAAACAAGCGUGACAUUAUUUUGAAGGCUUGACAGUCACUUCAUA
Long non-coding RNA from Thalassophryne amazonica, 213 nucleotides. RefSeq lists it as uncharacterized. Lineage: Eukaryota; Metazoa; Chordata; Actinopteri; Batrachoidiformes; Batrachoididae. The record is from RefSeq and is a predicted model, not a curated record. The transcript has 3 exons.